CAAUAGCGUAUAUUUAAGUUGUUGCAGUUAAAAAGCUCGUAGUCGGAUUUUGGCUGAGAACGAUCGGUCCGCCGUUAGGUGUGCACUGAUUGGUCUCAGCUUCCUGGUGAGGAGGUGUGCUUCACGGCCACUUAGUCACCGUGGUUACUUUGAAAAAAUUAGAGUGUUCAAAGCGGGCUUACGCUUGAAUAUAUUAGCAUGGAAUAACACCAUAGGACUCCUGUCCUAUUUCGUUGGUCUCGGGACGGGAGUAAUGAUUAAGAGGAACAGUUGGGGGCAUUCGUAUUUCAUUGUCAGAGGUGAAAUUCUUGGAUUUAUGAAAGACGGACUUCUGCGAAAGCAUUUGCCAAGGAUGUUUUCAUUGA
This 365-nucleotide ribosomal RNA is filed under the name uncultured eukaryote. RNAcentral describes it as "partial 18S ribosomal RNA". It matches the Rfam family "Eukaryotic small subunit ribosomal RNA", at positions 592 to 976 of the family's 1831-position model. The record is from RNAcentral.